AGUCAGCACAAGGAGGCAGACAUGGGACGCGCUUACUCUCUGAAUGUCCUGGCAGUUGGUGUAGCAUUCGUAUUCGUGGCUUCCAUGCUCUUCAUUUGAGCGCCACAGUUUCACAACUACCGGUCAUAUCUGGCAUCCGUGACAAUCAUAUAAAGAUUUGAAAGCAGGAAACGCAGCUCCAUCGGGCUGCGUUUC
RNAcentral lists this small RNA (195 nucleotides) under Pseudorhizobium pelagicum. RNAcentral's name for it is "Rhizobiales sRNA Atu_C9". It matches the Rfam family "Rhizobiales sRNA Atu_C9". The record is from Rfam by way of RNAcentral. Lineage: Bacteria; Pseudomonadati; Pseudomonadota; Alphaproteobacteria; Hyphomicrobiales; Rhizobiaceae.